UUUUCUUUUUUUGUUCUUUUACAAUAAAACAGUAGCGGGUGGGACACCAUUUCUCCAAAAUACGCCAUAAUUCUCCUCCCUCGUAAAAUAUCCGUUUCUGUUUCUUUUUUCUCUUUUCACAGCCUCAAUUCAUCUCUCCACUAUUUCAACGCCUCUCUCUCUCUUUCUCUGUCUCUCUCUCUCUCUAACCUUCUCCCUUAUCAUGACAACAACGGAUUCCAUUGAAUCACGUACAAAAUACAAUCCGCCAAUGGCGUCGCUUUCCAAGCAAGAGAGUUUCAGAAUCAAAUCCACCUCUCCAACAACCGCAACGAAGGCAAAAUUUUGCUGCAUUAAUAGAUGGUGUCAAGGUUAUUCUGUCCGCCGAUGACCUUCAGAGGUUAUGGAUAGAUCCAUAGAGGGUGCUUCUCGCUGGCUCUUUCCAAAUUCAAGGUGUUUCUGCAGAUAGGUCUCUCGAAAACUCGUCUGGUACACAGAUUCUCUUGAUAGCAGAAAAACUCCAGCUCUUUGAUAUUGGUGCAGACUCCUUGUUAAGAGAGUUGAGACUGGCUGUUUUGGAGUUUGAUAUAUAGAAAACUUUCAUCUACCGAUCCUUAUUUGCUGCCUUUUGGCUGGCCCUUUGCUAUGUGGAUUAGUCGGGAGUUGACUUCCACAAUUAGUUGCAAAUAAGUUUCGUAGAACAUGUGGCACACUUGCUUCUUCAAGAAGGACCAGUACUGGCUUGGAAUUCUUUUGCUUCAAUUUCAGGUUUUCAUCCUUGCAGGACGAAUAUCUAACUGCAAAUUGGAAUUGUAUCUCAAAUAAAAAUAUAAAGAAUGUAAAUCCUAAUCCUUGGAGAAGAAGGCGUCUAAUCCAUAUGCAUCCAAACCAAACAUGGCCGUUGUGGAAAGGGUAAUUGACACGAGUCAUCCAGAUUCCCGUGAGCUUGAGAAUGCAAAGAAGAUGCUUAAGGAAUUGUUAUUUCAAAUAAAAAUAUAAAGAUAUGUAAGGGCUCAUCCUUGAAGAAGAACGCCUCUAAUCCAUAUGCAUACAAACCAAACACAGCCAUUGUACUGCCACAAAACUGAAAUCUUUACAUUGUUAGAGAAUCUACCGAGAAUAAGUUUUACAUCAGUCCUAGACAACCUAGCUCCUGUUGUCUUACGGAAAAAUCAAAAGAACAUCUUUUCCAUGUGCGUGAGCAAACUGUUACAUCAUAAAUAUGAGCAUUCUCUGUCUGCAGAGGGAAAGAAGCCGACAUCCAAGAAUAAUUCGAGAAUCACAUAGAAGAAA
This is a non-coding RNA of Carica papaya (papaya), 1272 nucleotides long. The record is from RefSeq and is a predicted model, not a curated record. NCBI's taxonomy places the organism in Eukaryota, Viridiplantae, Streptophyta, Magnoliopsida, Brassicales, Caricaceae.